This 207-nucleotide ribosomal RNA is filed under the name uncultured bacterium. Its description in RNAcentral is "partial 16S ribosomal RNA". It matches the Rfam family "Bacterial small subunit ribosomal RNA", at positions 568 to 774 of the family's 1533-position model. The record is from RNAcentral.
AGCGUAGACGGAUGGACAAGCCUGAUGUGAAAGGCUGGGGCUCAACCCCGGGACUGCAUUGGAAACUGCCCGUCUUGAGUGCCGGAGAGGUAAGCGGAAUUCCUAGUGUAGCGGUGAAAUGCGUAGAUAUUAGGAGGAACACCAGUGGCGAAGGCGGCUUACUGGACGGUAACUGACGUUGAGGCUCGAAAGCGUGGGGAGCAAACA